This 433-nucleotide ribosomal RNA is filed under the name uncultured bacterium. RNAcentral describes it as "partial 16S ribosomal RNA". It matches the Rfam family "Bacterial small subunit ribosomal RNA", at positions 29 to 507 of the family's 1533-position model. The record is from RNAcentral.
AACGAACGCUGGCGGCAUGCCUAACACAUGCAAGUCGAACGAGACCUUCGGGCCUAGUGGCGCACGGGUGCGUAACGCGUGGGAACCUGCCCUUAGGUUCGGAAUAACUCCCCGAAAGGGGUGCUAAUACCGGCUAAUGUCUUCGGACCAAAGAUUUAUCGCCUUUGGAUGGGCCCGCGUUGGAUUAGCUAGUUGGUAGGGUAAAAGCCUACCAAGGCGACGAUCCAGAGCUGGUCUGAGAGGAUGAUCAGCCACACUGGGACUGAGACACGGCCCAGACUCCUACGGGAGGCAGCAGUGGGGAAUAUUGGACAAUGGGCGAAAGCCUGAUCCAGCAAUGCCGCGUGAGUGAUGAAGGCCUUAGGGUUGUAAAGCUCUUUUACCCGGGAUGAUAAUGACAGUACCGGGAGAAUAAGCUCCGGCUAACUCCGUG